UACGAAGGGUGCAAACGUUGCUCGGAAUCAUUGGGCGUAAAGCGCACGUAGGCGGCCUCAAAAGUCGGAUGUGAAAUCCCGUGGCUCAACCAUGGACGUGCAUUCGAAACUGCGAGGCUUGAGUAUGGAAGAGGGUCGCGGAAUUCCCGGUGUAGAGGUGAAAUUCGUAGAUAUCGGGAGGAACACCAGUGGCGAAGGCGGCGACCUGGGCCAAUACUGACGCUGAGGCGCGAAAGCAUGGGGAGCGAACAGG
RNAcentral lists this ribosomal RNA (253 nucleotides) under uncultured bacterium. Its description in RNAcentral is "partial 16S ribosomal RNA". It matches the Rfam family "Bacterial small subunit ribosomal RNA", at positions 524 to 776 of the family's 1533-position model. The record is from RNAcentral.